RNAcentral lists this ribosomal RNA (615 nucleotides) under uncultured bacterium. RNAcentral describes it as "bacterial SSU rRNA". It matches the Rfam family "Bacterial small subunit ribosomal RNA", at positions 338 to 947 of the family's 1533-position model. The record is from RNAcentral.
CCUACGGGAGGCAGCAGUGGGGAAUUUUGGACAAUGGGCGAAAGCCUGAUCCAGCAAUGCCGCGUGUGGGAAGAAGGCCUUCGGGUUGUAAACCACUUUUGUACGGAACGAAACGGUUCGCUUUAAUACAGUGGGCUAAUGACGGUACCGUAAGAAUAAGCACCGGCUAACUACGUGCCAGCAGCCGCGGUAAUACGUAGGGUGCGAGCGUUAAUCGGAAUUACUGGGCGUAAAGCGUGCGCAGGCGGUUAUAUAAGACAGUUGUGAAAUCCCCGGGCUCAACCUGGGAAUUGCAUCUGUGACUGUAUAGCUAGAGUACGGUAGAGGGGGAUGGAAUUCCGCGUGUAGCAGUGAAAUGCGUAGAUAUGCGGAGGAACACCGAUGGCGAAGGCAAUCCCCUGGACCUGUACUGACGCUCAUGCACGAAAGCGUGGGGAGCAAACAGGAUUAGAUACCCUGGUAGUCCACGCCCUAAACGAUGUCAACUGGUUGUUGGGUGCAUUAGUACUCAGUAACGAAGCUAACGCGUGAAGUUGACCGCCUGGGGAGUACGGCCGCAAGGUUGAAACUCAAAGGAUUGACGGCUGNGAGNGCGAGACGACGACGAGGGAGAGG